UGUGUCCUAAGUAUUUGUGUCAACACAGUUGCAUCAUACAAUAAAAAACAAGGAAAAAAAGCCUAGAAUGUCCCUUCACAUAUGAGAACCACUUUCUCCUCAACUUUACUUGUUUCCUAGAUAUUUGUGUCUGGGUGGAUAAGCUCUACCUUCUCCAAGGCAUUAUCUAGAGAAGAAACAGACCCAGAAUUUUCAUUUCAUCAAUGGAAUCCCCUCAUAAUUUUCUUAGCAUCACCAAGUUCAGUGGUGAGCUUGUUCUUCUUAUCUAUGACAUACUUUAUGCACGUUUAUCUCUUUUCGAAGGUUCCUUGAAGCUAAGAACACUGUCUCUAGCAACGAAACUGAAGGUCAACAGAGUGCUUUUGUCAUAUAACUUCCUAAAGUUUAAAUUGUAUCACUUAUUAUGUCUUGAUGACUUAUGUCUCAUCAAGGCGAUUUACUCUCUCCAUACCCUUUUAUUCUAUGUGACAAUGUUCUCUCUAAUUUUUUACACAGAAAGGUAACAACCAAUAGAGUUAUUGGUCUCAAAAUUGCUAGACAAACCCCUUAGAUCUCACACCUUUUUUUCUUCUGAUGAUGAUAACCUUCUCUUCACAAGAGCUAUCCCACAAGAGGCUGAGUCAACCCCCUAAAUAUCAUUUUCACCUGUUAGAAGGCUUCUGGAGUCUGAACAAAUGAUUAAUAUGGACAAGUAUGAAAUGUUGUUUGGUUAAAAUGUGUCAAAUGAAGGAGUUAUGACAUGCAAUAAUAUGGGAGUAAACACUCUAGACACUCAUUCUAGAUACAACUACGGCUGCUUCUUCUUUUUAAGGUGGGUUUGUUUUAAGAAUAAGGAGAAUUAAAGAACAUAAGCAUACAGAUUUUAAAGAUUACCAAAUUAAGGAAAAGAGUCACUCUCUCCAUUGAGCCAUUCUCCUCAAAGUCGCGCUUGAAAAACUGUGCAGUCUCCAUGUUAACUCCCAUAGCUGCAAAAACAAUGGCGAAAUUGUCGUCUUCUCCUCCUCCCUGCAUAAAUAAAGAUUUGUAGGAAAAAUCAUCUUAUUCGUAUUACAUGAAGUAUAAAAGUAAUAAGAUUUAGUAAAUAAUUAUGCAAAAAUGGCCUUCUUAUUCUAGGCCAAUGAGAAGCAAUAUGUGUAUCUAUAAGUAAUAUAAGAAAUACUUCAAAUUAUUCAUGUCAGUUUCUUCAUAACAGUUGUUGGAAAUGGUGAUAAUGAUUAAUAUGUCAAUGGGAAUAAUAGGUGCUAAUAACAGAUAUGUACUUUGAGUUUGUUUUAUGUUUUCGUCUAGCAUUGUGUUUGUUUUAUGAUUUGACUAUUUUUGCAUAGGUGAUUUUACUUUCAAUCUUCCUUCAGCGCUGUCACUUCUAUUGGAUGGUUUUACUUUUAAUCUUCCUUCAGCGCUAUCACUUCUAUCAGAUGAUACCUUAGCCCCUUUCUUAUUCUCUUUCCUAUCUUAUAAUAUUUCUUUUCCGACCCAUCAUCAGUGUCCUCAGUAAGGUAAAUCCAAAUGAAACACAAAUCACAAUCAAUUUCCAACAGUCACAGUUCAAGAGCAUUUAAGAUAUUUGAUAAAGUUCCUUUAGAUCUAUACCUCAAGAAGAUUAUCAGACUUCUCUAAUCGCUUGACUAAGCCAGCCUGACGACAAAUCUGUGCAGCAAUUUCAUUAUGGGGGAGACCGGCAGCUGAAAAUAGAGGGAUCUUUUGACCUCUAGCAAUAGAAUUCAUGACAUCAAUUGUAGAUAUUCCUGUCUGUAUCAUCUCCUCGG
Lathyrus oleraceus (garden pea) is the source of this 1766-nucleotide long non-coding RNA. RefSeq lists it as uncharacterized. The record is from RefSeq and is a predicted model, not a curated record. The transcript has 2 exons. Lineage: Eukaryota; Viridiplantae; Streptophyta; Magnoliopsida; Fabales; Fabaceae.